This 1035-nucleotide long non-coding RNA is filed under the name Callithrix jacchus (white-tufted-ear marmoset). Its description in RNAcentral is "lncRNA (ENSCJAG00000081707.1)". Lineage: Eukaryota; Metazoa; Chordata; Mammalia; Primates; Cebidae. The record is from RNAcentral.
AAAAAGAUGAUGCAUGUGAACCUCUACAUAUGGUUGUUGGAUGCUUACAUUUGUUUAAUGGAACUAAAACAUUUAUUCUCUUUUUCUUCAUCCUUCCAUCAACUGUCCUCCAUGCCCAACCAGUUUCUACCCUGCUGAUUUUCUGCCUUUAGAAACAAAGAAGAAUUCAGCUUUUCUUCAUGAUGUAGGAUGCUGUAUGUACUUGGAGCCAUCCUCAGUCACAGCUGCCUUUUCGUGGAUCCAAGAUGGUUCUCUACCUGGCUGGUGCCAUGCCGCCUGCUAUUUUACUGUACACAUGAUGACAAAGUAAAGGGAAGAUGUGGCCUCCAUGUUGAACAUGGCUGACUCUCAGGUAGCCCUUUUCUGUUGGUACAGCUGCUGGCAUUCACCUGUGCAAGAUUCCAGCUUGCAUUUCUGCAGCUUGAUUUUUCAGGCUGCUCUUUGUUAGAAAAGAAAUGAUUUGGGGACUGCAUUUUGUCAAAAGGGAAGCCUUGCUGAGGACCCCUUUACCCUCGCUAUCUGCCUAAAUAAUUUCUUUCCAGCCCCUAUAUCAAUAUUAUCGCAGAGUUAUCACUGUCUGUGUUUCUCUCCCGCAUAAGACUGUGAUACUCAAAGGUCAGAGUUGCAGGCGUGUAGUAGGGAUUCACUGAAUACUCAGUGCAGGGAGUGGAGAAGGGAAGAGCUAAUGGCUGGGGUCCUUCCCAAAAGGACAAGGAGACCAGCCACCCCAGCUUCAAUCCUUCUCCCUCCUGCUUUUCUCUGGUUCCCCAGGACAGAGCCCAAGAAGCAGCAGGAGCUGCGUCAGCCUCACUAAAUAAAAACGGCUCUUUAAAAACAUCAUUAGAAACUCAUUUACCGCAAGCCACCAAAACCGCGUGAGGCAGAGAAAAUCGGCCCAUCCCCGACUGUCUUUCUCGUGUUCCAUUUGCUCUUUUCUUUUGUCUGUUUUUUUCCCUCAUGUUUUGCUGAUUCUCUUCAUUUCCAAAGAAUUAUUUCCACUGCUCCUUGCCGCCAAGUCCCCAAACAAUCACGCAC